UCAACCCACAGGAGAAUCAGG
RNAcentral lists this non-coding RNA (21 nucleotides) under Mus musculus (house mouse). Lineage: Eukaryota; Metazoa; Chordata; Mammalia; Rodentia; Muridae. The record is from RNAcentral.